AAAGUCGUAACAAGGUUUCCGUAGGUGAACCUGCGGAAGGAUCAUUACUGAAUUACUGAGAGGUUGUUGCUGGCUCUUCGGAGCAUGUGCACACCUUUCAAAUUCAUCUCAACCACCUGUGCACCUCUGUAGACUAUGGCAACGCUCAGCUCUUUUGCUGGAUAGAGGGACUUGCGUUAAGCAUGUCCUUCAAUGUUGUAGUCUACGUUUAUCUAUCCACUAUAUUGUUCAGAAUGUCUUUAUUAGGUCUUGCACCGAUAAACUUAUACAACUUUCAACAACGGAUCUCUUGGCUCUC
This 298-nucleotide unclassified non-coding RNA is filed under the name Basidiomycota sp. RNAcentral describes it as "partial contains small subunit ribosomal RNA, internal transcribed spacer 1, and 5.8S ribosomal RNA". The stretch from base 1 to 47 matches the Rfam family "Eukaryotic small subunit ribosomal RNA", at positions 1785 to 1831 of the family's 1831-position model. The record is from RNAcentral. Lineage: Eukaryota; Fungi; Basidiomycota.